This 350-nucleotide ribosomal RNA is filed under the name Neobuthus awashensis. RNAcentral's name for it is "partial large subunit ribosomal RNA". Lineage: Eukaryota; Metazoa; Arthropoda; Arachnida; Scorpiones; Buthidae. The record is from RNAcentral.
UUAGUCUUUUAAUUGAAGACUGGAAUGAAAGAGUAAACCAAGAGGAAUUUUUUUGGAAAAAAAAAAUGAAGUUUACUUUUUAGUAAGAAGGCUAAAAUGACUCUUUUAGACAAGAAGACCCUAUAAAACUUUAUACUUUAAGAUUUUAGAAAAUUUUAAAAGUAUUUUACUGGGGCGGUAAAGAAUAAAAGCAUUCUUAAAUUAUUAAAACGAACAAGUUUUGAUAUCUGGAAAUUCCAAAAAAGAAAUAAGUUACUUUAGGGAUAACAGCUUAAUUCAUUUUGAAAGAUCAAAUUGACAAAUGAGUUUAUGACCUCGAUGUUGAAUUAAAAUUUCCUUUUUGUGCAAAA